This 392-nucleotide ribosomal RNA is filed under the name Odontogryllus setosus. RNAcentral's name for it is "partial 12S ribosomal RNA". The record is from RNAcentral. Lineage: Eukaryota; Metazoa; Arthropoda; Insecta; Orthoptera; Gryllidae.
UAUUAUAUAAUAUGUAUUGUUUUUGCUGGGGUAGUAAAAGUUAAGGUCUUAAAACCCAAAGAAUUUGACGGUGUUUUAGUCCUUUCAGAGGAAUCUGUUUUUUAAUUGAAAGUGCACGAGUUUUUUUACUUGAGUUUGUAAUCAGUUUGUAUAUCGCCGUUAUAAGAUAAUCUUGUGGAGAGUUAAAUUUUCUGUUUUUUGGAAUUGAAGGUAUAUCAGGUCAAGGUGCAGCUAAUGCUUAAGUUGAAAUGGAUUACAAUAAUUUUAUUUAUUAUGGAUAGUAGAUUUAAAUUUUAUUUGAAGGUGGAUUUGAUUGUAAAUUGGUUUAUUGUCUUUUUGAUUAUGGCUCUAAAAUGUGUACAUAUCGCCCGUCGCUCUCAUUAUUAGGUGAG